GACGAACGCUGGCGGCGUGCCUAAUACAUGCAAGUAGAACGCACAGUUUAUACCGUAGCUUGCUACACCAUAGACUGUGAGUUGCGAACGGGUGAGUAACGCGUAGGUAACCUGCCUGGUAGCGGGGGAUAACUAUUGGAAACGAUAGCUAAUACCGCAUAAUAUUAAUUAUUGCAUGAUAAUUAAUGGAAAGGUGCAAUUGCACCACUACCAGAUGGACCUGCGUUGUAUUAGCUAGUAGGUGAGGUAACGGCUCACCUAGGCGACGAUACAUAGCCGACCUGAGAGGGUGAUCGGCCACACUGGGACUGAGACACGGCCCAGACUCCUACGGGAGGCAGCAGUAGGGAAUCUUCGGCAAUGGACGAAAGUCUGACCGAGCAACGCCGCGUGAGUGAAGAAGGUUUUCGGAUCGUAAAGCUCUGUUGUAAGAGAAGAACGGGUGUGAGAGUGGAAAGUUCACACUGUGACGGUAUCUUACCAGAAAGGGACGGCUAACUACGUG
Molecule: ribosomal RNA, 505 nt
Filed under: uncultured bacterium
Lineage: Bacteria
Description: partial 16S ribosomal RNA
Rfam family: Bacterial small subunit ribosomal RNA
Source: RNAcentral